Phascolarctos cinereus (koala) is the source of this 297-nucleotide non-coding RNA. Lineage: Eukaryota; Metazoa; Chordata; Mammalia; Diprotodontia; Phascolarctidae. The record is from RefSeq and is a predicted model, not a curated record.
GCAUCAGAUAAGAGGCUAUAGACCAGGAGAAUGUUUUCAGGAUGUCAGCCUGACCUCCUGCCCAUCGCAGGUCAGAUCUCAAGAGCCGGGAACAAGACUGGAACCCAGUGAUGACAGUAAGAAGCACAGAUCUCCUUUUGCAAGGCCUUGAGUCAUCUGAGGCCUGGUAGAAGGAUCUGGGGAUUUUCAGUCUGAACUAAGAAGAUUCAGGGGACAGUGAUAGCUAUCAUUAAGGAUUUGAAGGACAGUAAUAUGGAAUAAGAAUUCAAUUUCCUCUGUCUGACUCCAAAGGGCAGA